GUGCUCACUUCGGCAGCACAUACACUAGAAAUUGGAACGAUACAGAUAAGAUUAGCAUGGCCCCUGUGCUUGGAUGACAUGCAAAUUUGUAAAGCAUUCCAUAUUAAA
RNAcentral lists this small nuclear RNA (108 nucleotides) under Choloepus hoffmanni (Hoffmann's two-fingered sloth). Lineage: Eukaryota; Metazoa; Chordata; Mammalia; Pilosa; Megalonychidae. The record is from RNAcentral.